CUGGGAGUGGGUGUGUAAAAUGAAUCUGGGGCUGGGAGCUUAGCUGCCUGGGCCAAGUCCUGGCCCUACCUUUCUUCCAGCUGCAAGACCAUUUCACCUGCUCAGCCUCAGCUUCCCAUCUGCCAGUGAGGGACAACCUGUCUGGAAUGGUGGCUGAGUCUGAAAUGAACAUCACCUGGUGAUGUGCAAGCCAGGUGAGAAUGCCACCGUGCAACAUAAAAGUGGGUGGCCGUUGCUGAUCAGCACCUUUUACUUCCACUUAGCACCAUGUUAGGCCCAGGAGAGGAAAUGGAUGGACCCUUGACUCUAUUUGGUGGCGGUGACAAUGGUCAGGAUUCUGCAGUUAUAUGAAUGGCCACCAGGAGUCACCCUCAGCUCAUGCUUGAAGUGAAGGCAGCACAGAAAAAGGGAAAGGAGCUGUAAGGGAGAAAAGGAGGAGGACACCCCACCACAGAGUGGAUGAGCCUGGAGGGGACCCAAGGCUGCCAGAGUGGCUGCUUCAUUUCUGCAGGAAGGUGCAGGACAGAACUCAGACUGGUGGGCACCGUGCCAGCAGGCAGAGGAGGGAGCAAAGGCUCAUUUGUCUGCCUUCGGAAUUCUCCUUCCCAUGCUGAUGUCAAAUCACAAUUCAACAGAUUCUUCAUGGGGCACCUGCUGCACACAGAGGGACAGGAAUCUUACUGAACACCUAGUAUAUGCCAGAGCCUACACACACAGUGGGCUACUCAACAUUCACAACAACUCUGUACAGUAAGUACAAAUAUUGGUCCCAAGAUACAGAUUGGGAAACUGAGGCUUAUACCAGUUAUGUGUUGUGCCCAAGGUCACCAAGCUGGAUGAGGACUGACGCCUGUCUGGAGCCUAAAUUCUUUCUCCUACACCAGAUUGACUUCCAGAGAGUUCUAGGAUACAAAGCUGGCAACAGACUUUCUGCCACGUAGAGGGAUAUGGCAGGUGACAACCCUGUCUGGCUCUGCUAAUCAGGAUCCAGUAAGAAGCUCAAGACAGGUGGCCACUCUGCUGGUAGGCAGAGGAGGGAGCUGUGCUCCCUGGGGUGGGUAGAAGUAAGGUUUGUGUGGGUGCUGGGUGUUGGACACGGGCAGGCUGCAGACAUAGCAGCAAUGAGGGGAGACUCUCUCAACCUGCCCAUGUCCUCCUCUGAGCAAUCUCCCCGCCCCAGAAUUAUUUCAGUUUCCUCAUCUGUCAGUUCUAGGGGUGGACUUCAUUCAUUCAAUACUGUGUCCCUGACCUCUGCUCCCUGCCAGGCUCUGAACUAGUCAUGUGUCAGGCUGGAUACUUAGAUGGACAAGACAAGCCAUCCCCUGCCCACAGCUGCCCCACCUGAAGUCUAGGCCAGUGACCUCCGAAGUUUUUUUGAUCAUGUGCCCUUAGCAAUAAAAAAGAUUGUUGAGU
This 1413-nucleotide long non-coding RNA is filed under the name Homo sapiens (human). Its description in RNAcentral is "HSALNT0106535". Lineage: Eukaryota; Metazoa; Chordata; Mammalia; Primates; Hominidae. The record is from RNAcentral.